RNAcentral lists this long non-coding RNA (1543 nucleotides) under Struthio camelus australis. Its description in RNAcentral is "lncRNA (ENSSCUG00000010056.1)". Lineage: Eukaryota; Metazoa; Chordata; Aves; Struthioniformes; Struthionidae. The record is from RNAcentral.
GAGGGGUCGUCUCAUCUGGUAUUCACCUUCCUGCAACAGUUUUGUCUACAGCCCCAGGAAAGCUGCAAACUGCACAGAGGGGAAGGUCUUAAUCACCUAUUGAUAUGUUCCUCUGAUGGCAGCCGUCAUAAAGUGGAGCUUUUUAAAGGGAAUGGUGCCUGUUUGCUGCAAGGAGAUGCUGUGAGGUUUCAGUGGUCGAUGUCUCCAGAGACUUCCUUGGUGGAAGGCUGUUGGCACUGGCAAUCCAGCUUACUCACGGAGCUGAAGUAUGCAGAAAGGUUUUGGGGAGGAUGUUCUGUGUCACAUCUCCUGCUUAGACUUCAAGACGGUUGCAGAGUUGAAAAGACAUUCCGUCUGCUCCGAACGCUGAUCUCUUAUUGAUCAUGCUUGGGAAAGACUCCCUAAGGCAGCUUGUUAGGUAUGAUUUACAUUGUUUUCUCUCAUCUGCAUGCUUUGCGUUUAGUCAUUUGCCUUCUUCCUGCUUUGAUGUUGUUGAUUGCAGUGGCUUAUUUGUGUUUAAAUUUUGACUGUACCCUAAUGUUAGGACAAAAAACAGUAGUCAGAUGAGACAUUUUAAAAUAAUGAAUUGUGUGCAUGUAUGUGUAUCUAGAUAUCUGUGUGUCAGAAUAUCAGUAACCUGGCCCAUGGCAAAUGGAGAUUGAAACAUUAAAAGCGCUCUUCUAGCUGAGCCAUUUUUACAGACUCUGUUGACUCGGUGAUAUACAAGUGUUUCAGUCUUCAAUACGAUGACCCACUUCUUUGCACCUAUAAUCCUUGGCAGAGGGAAGUGGUGACUUGACCCAAGUCACUAGCGGAGCCUCUGACAGGGCAUGAGCUUGCCUUUGGCUACUCCAAGUCCUGUCCUCACACCCUACUCCUGGGCUUUCUCCCCUGCUUUCAUCUGACCUGCACACGUUCCUCCUCCACGGCUGUGAGCAAGUGCGAGCAUCUCAAUGAAACUUUCCUUGCAUAGCUAAAUUGAAGUCUGCAGCAGCAGCACUGCUGCUUGCUUCUGCUACCAUUUUUGAUCUUGCAGGAGAUGGUAAAAUGCUUGCAUGCAUACAUGUAAGCUGCUUGCAGUUUAGUUGCCUGUUCUGGUGAAUAAGCCACAUAUUCUGCUUGUGGUCCAUCUUUUUAAGAGGGUGUGCGUAGCAGACAAAUGAAGGCACUGAAGCAUGGGUGCCAUUAGCAAUGCUUCCCCUCCGCUUGCCCCCCCAAAAAAGAAAAAAAAAAUUCCAAAAGAUAAAGCAAGGCAAAAAGCCCCUGGUUUGGAAAAUAUUUCCUAACCACCUUAUCUGAGCUGCAUAUUAGAGAAGCUAGUCCUUUUAAAAUUCCUCACAAGUCUUUCUAUCCUCAUAAGAACCUUGAACUUUACACACCUCUCAUGACUAGUCCUCCAACAAAUUAUACUACCUGCAUAAGUUUUUUUUAAUACAUGAUUCUUUUAUAGGAGGUUCUUUGUACACUGAUGGCAUAACAGAGCCGAUGAGUAAUUUGAUUUACAUGAAAUAAAAUGGGGAAAAUUGCAUGAGUAAGAAGAGCU